Long non-coding RNA from Octopus sinensis (East Asian common octopus), 174 nucleotides. RefSeq lists it as uncharacterized. The transcript has 3 exons. NCBI's taxonomy places the organism in Eukaryota, Metazoa, Mollusca, Cephalopoda, Octopoda, Octopodidae. The record is from RefSeq and is a predicted model, not a curated record.
UUGUACAGGUAAUGUCAAUCUGAUGGAGACAGUGAGCUUAUGUCUACACAAACAUCUGAUCACUAUAAACAAAUCAUCUGUGUGGUUGUUUGUUAAGAAAUUGUCAAACCCUCAUACAUCAUUUAACGAUGGGAGAGUCCAUCAUAUAUAUGUAUAUAUACAAACAUUUAUCCU